UACAGAGGUCCCAAGCGUUGUUCGGAUUCAUUGGGCGUAAGGGUGCGUAGGUGGCGCCGUAAGUCAGGUGUGAAAUCUCGGGGCUUAAACUCCGAACUGCAUUUGAUACUGCGGUGCUUGAGGACUGGAGAGGAGACUGGAAUUUACGGUGUAGCAGUGAAAAUGCGUAGAGAUCGAUAGGAAGACCAGUGGCGAAGCGGG
RNAcentral lists this ribosomal RNA (201 nucleotides) under uncultured bacterium. Its description in RNAcentral is "partial 16S ribosomal RNA". It matches the Rfam family "Bacterial small subunit ribosomal RNA", at positions 524 to 725 of the family's 1533-position model. The record is from RNAcentral.